This 253-nucleotide ribosomal RNA is filed under the name uncultured bacterium. RNAcentral describes it as "partial 16S ribosomal RNA". It matches the Rfam family "Bacterial small subunit ribosomal RNA", at positions 524 to 776 of the family's 1533-position model. The record is from RNAcentral.
UACGAAGGGGGCGAGCGUUGUUCGGAAUUACUGGGCGUAAAGGGUCCGUAGGCGGUGCGGCAAGUCGGGAGUGAAAUCUCUGGGCUUAACUCAGAGGCUGCUUCCGAAACUGCCGUGCUCGAGUGUGAGAGAGGCGAGUGGAAUUACGGGUGUAGCGGUGAAAUGCGUAGAUAUCCGUAGGAACAUCCGAGGCGAAGGCGGCUCGCUGGAUCACUACUGACGCUGAGGGACGAAAGCUAGGGGAGCAAACAGG